RNAcentral lists this long non-coding RNA (824 nucleotides) under Pan troglodytes (chimpanzee). RNAcentral's name for it is "long non-coding RNA NONPTRT014789". The record is from RNAcentral. Lineage: Eukaryota; Metazoa; Chordata; Mammalia; Primates; Hominidae.
AGGCAGAGGAGGCGCCGAGAGCGAGCGAGGGCUGUGAGGACUGCCGGCACACUGUCACCUCUCAGUCUAAGAUCAACCCUAAUUGAAAAUACUAUAUUUUGAAGGGUCACGUUUCUCUUUAGAUUACACACAGCGUCUUGUGAUACUGCCUCUGGUCAGCUGAUUUCUCCUUGCCUCAUUCCAACUUCUUUUGUCAGAAAAUUCUUCAAUAUUGCCACAUUCUUUCACAAUAAUAUGGAUGAAAGAUAUCUCACCAGCACAAGGGAGGUGGGAAGAGAACAUGGAAGUCAAGCACCUUUUUAAAAGAUUUGAAAUGGAAGCCGUGCACAUGACUGUGGAUCAUACCUCUCAUUCAUGGCCACAUACAGCUGCAAGUCUCUACGCUUAUGGCCGUACAGCUCAGCCAAAAGGGGUGUAUGUGGGAAGUUCUGUUAAUAAAAAGAGGAAGGGGAGAAUAAAUAAUAGUAGGGGACAAUAACAUUCAAUUUAAUAUAUACAUUGAAUCAAGGAAUACUUCACCACAAUAACCACUAAAAGAUAUACACACACGCACACAUACCCACACACAUACUACUACUAUCGAUGUCUAUCUAUAUAAGAUAUAUAUAUAUUAUAUCAUAUAUAAAUAUAUAUCUUAGCUGAAAGUAAAGGGAAAUAUCCUAAAGCACUGCUCAGUUCUGUGACUACCCUAAGCACUUUUUAUAGACAGAGAGAGGAUCUCAGAAGACUAAGACUAGCAUGAUGUUUAAAAGGCAAACCAAAUAUAUGGAACUAGAAUAAAAACUUAUUUUGAAAAGACACAGCUAAAUAUUCUCAUGUAAACU